CCCCUCGAGAGUGGCGAACGGGUGAGUAAUAUAUCGGAACGUGCCCAGUCGUGGGGGAUAACGUAGCGAAAGUUACGCUAAUACCGCAUACGAUCUACGGAUGAAAGCGGGGGACCGUAAGGCCUCGCGCGAUUGGAGCGGCCGAUAUCAGAUUAGGUAGUUGGUGUGGUAAAGGCUCACCAAGCCAACGAUCUGUAGCUGGUCUGAGAGGACGACCAGCCACACUGGAACUGAGACACGGUCCAGACUCCUACGGGAGGCAGCAGUGGGGAAUUUUGGACAAUGGACGCAAGUCUGAUCCAGCCAUUCCGCGUGCAGGAUGAAGGCCCUCGGGUUGUAAACUGCUUUUGUACGGAACGAAAAGGUCUCUCUUAAUACGAGGGGCUCAUGACGGUACCGUAAGAAUAAGCACCGGCUAACUACGUGCCAGCAGCCGCGGUAAUACGUAGGGUGCAAGCGUUAAUCGGAAUUACUGGGCGUAAAGCGUGCGCAGGCGGUUAUGUAAGACAGAGGUGAAAUCCCCGGGCUCAACCUGGGAACUGCCUUUGUGACUGCAUAGCUAGAGUACGGUAGAGGGGGAUGGAAUUCCGCGUGUAGCAGUGAUAUGCGUAGAUAUGCGGAGGAACACCGAUGGCGAAGGCAAUCCCCUGGACCUGUACUGACGCUCAUGCACGAAAGCGUGGGGAGCAAACAGGAUUAG
RNAcentral lists this ribosomal RNA (700 nucleotides) under uncultured beta proteobacterium. RNAcentral's name for it is "bacterial SSU rRNA". It matches the Rfam family "Bacterial small subunit ribosomal RNA", at positions 85 to 781 of the family's 1533-position model. Lineage: Bacteria; Pseudomonadati; Pseudomonadota; Betaproteobacteria. The record is from RNAcentral.